Molecule: long non-coding RNA, 1100 nt
Filed under: Androctonus crassicauda
Lineage: Eukaryota; Metazoa; Arthropoda; Arachnida; Scorpiones; Buthidae
Source: RNAcentral
UCGAAUAUUUUUAUAUAAUUUUAUUCAAUAAAAAUAUUAUAAAUUAUUUUAUUUUUUAAAAUAUAGUUUGAAUUUUUUUUCUUUUAGUAAAUAUUAACGAGAUAUAUCCAUAAAAUUUUAACGAGAUAAAACUUUCCUUUCAGAUCAUGAAUUUCUUUCCUAUCCGCCGUCUCUUAUAGCUACUGCUAGCGUAGCAGCUGCUGCUGAUGGAUUAAAUUGGAUGGAAAAACCAUGGAACAACUUGACUGAAUUAUUAUUAUUAUUACAACAAAUAACUGGAAUCGAAGUUACGUCUAUUAGGUCGUGUGUUCAACAAAUCGAACAAGUAGUGACAUCGGAAAUGGCCGUAGUUCUUAAAUCUAAUCCAACACCUCCAAAUGGUAGUAGCAAAGUGAACUGCAAGGCAACUGGAGUUGGACAACCGGAAACUCCAACCGACGUGCAAAACGUACAGAUAUAAUUUGUGCACAUUUUCAUAUUUGUAUAUACAUCAUAUUAAAAAAAUGAGCAAAAAACAGAACAUCAAUCGAACGAUCUACACUCAUUAUGAAUGAUGAUUACUACAUGUGUGACCAAGAAUGUAAAUGUCGAAACAGUCAUCCUAUUGAUUAUCAAAAUAAUCUUGAGUCAUCCUAUAAUGUUUUGUGAAGUUUUUGAAGACACAAUAUCGUAUAAUCAUCACCAUAUUACAAAAAAAUGUGCCUCAUUUGGCUUAGAUCAUCUUUCUAGUCGUCAUCGAAUAUGGACGCUCGUACAAAUUUGCGGCAGGGGUAGUUUUUCAAAUUUAUAUGGGUAUACUUUAAAUACUGUACAUGAUCCUAACGUGGGAUAACUUCAGAGAAUGUUGACGUGGUGCUAAUGUGGAAGAUGAUAAAAUUAGGAUCUUUAUAUAUAAAAAAAUAUCGGUUUAAAUAUAUUAUGUCAUGGGCAUUUAUCGUCGAGGAGAAUGUAUAUAAAACCUAAGAGGACACAAAUCUAUAAAUGUCCAUUAAUAACUGUACAUAGUAUUUAUGGUAAAAAUAACAUAUUGACAAAAAUAGUUUUUGUAUUUGCUGUUUUAUAAAAUUUCAAGUUUUAUGUAUACUGUAUGUUUUAUUGUG